GGGAGUGACGUCAUCGGCAAGCCACAAAUUUGCGCCGACAACUGCUGACUUUUAAUCAGCGGGUGCCAGGUUCGAGCCCUGGUGCGCCCACCA
RNAcentral lists this transfer RNA (93 nucleotides) under Bradyrhizobium septentrionale. RNAcentral describes it as "tRNA-Lys". The record is from RNAcentral. Lineage: Bacteria; Pseudomonadati; Pseudomonadota; Alphaproteobacteria; Hyphomicrobiales; Nitrobacteraceae.